GUUGAGUGUGAAGACCUGAGGUAUCAGGGGUAGGGGUUGCUCUGCUUGUGUAAGUCCCAUAGUGUGAAGGCCAGAGAACCAAGAGAUGGUCAAGAAGAGAGAGUAAGUGUCCAAUGUCCCAGCUCAAGAAGAGAGAGAGCAUCACGACCUGUGCAGACUCCCCAGCAUCAUAACAGGAAGGUCCCACGAUCACGAGCACAUUGCCUUCAGCAUCCAGCACUGAAUAUGGUGAAUUGCACUCUGAAGAGCUUCCUAAGCUUGUAAGAAAGUGAUUCUGAAAAGCUCAACAUUUUGGUAGAAUGGAGAGAUUUGACAUUGCUUCUGCUCCAAAAGCAAAAGACUUGGGAAGGGCACCCUGGGAGUUGAGAACAUCCACCACAGAGAGGCCUGGCGUAAAGGAGAUGGGACUCACACCCAAGAGGAUGCAUUUCCAUACACCCAUUUCUGAAAUAUGAAGAGGUGUCCAGUCUGUUUGAUUCAUAGCUGCCUGUUCCACAACUGCAGAUACAGUAAUUGAUAACCGAGACCAAGUUCUCAUCCCCAUCUCCCAGGGCUGGAACUGGGGCUGUGUUUGGUUCUCAUAAGAUCAGUUCCAGUUUUAGAAACUGAGUAAAUUGUGGAGUAAAUAUUGCCAAGUGAUGGCUUUCUGCUGUAGGCGUGGGUCGCUGUUGGCCAUUUGCCUCAGCAUAUCACCAGCAAUGCACCUCAUUGCAUCACUGCAUUUCCAAUUACACCUCAAAGCACCACUGGUCCCCUGUCCACCCUCUGCCCUGCAGAGGUGGGUGUUCAGGGAGACAGAUCCAAAAUCUGGGCUCAGAAGAUGGAAAUGCCAACUGCUCUCAAUUUGAGAGUGGGGAUGAGACUUUUUGACUCAACUCUGGUUAAUUCAGCCAUGCUGUCAGAGCUGCUUUGAUGCAAGGACAUCUGAAUGCUAUCUGAAUGCUGCCCCUAAAAUAACAAAUUAAAAACAACAACAACAACAAAAAUCAAGUGUUGUAGAACAGUUCUCCUGCCCCAAUCCCUGAGCCUCAGUUCAUCCCAGCCCUUCCUCCUAGGGUUAGAGAGAGGCUCAGGAUGAGCUGAGAUACUAGGAUGAGGUAAGCGACAGGAGGGGCUGAAGGCUGGGACUAAGAGUUGGGAACAGGUAUAGGAAGAAGUCCAGUGACAAAAGCCUGGUCAGGAAUGGGGAAUUAAAACAGAUCACAUUACAUCAGCAGUCAUGUCCAAUGUUCCUAGUCCAAAGAGCUCUGCAAUUAUCACCUUGGUUGACUGUCUUGCAACUCCACCACUCACACGCAGGAAUAGGCAGCCAUUACCAAGGGCAUGGUUGGACCUGAAGCUUGCCACUCAAGACCCUCCAGCAUUUGGCCAAACUUCCAUCUCCAUCUUAUUUCUUCCCCUUCAUGAACUGUCAUUUUAAAUCAAACUCCAUGCCAUGACAAAUCCCCACCCCCGCCAUGACCGGGGGAAGAUCACUAGGCACCCUCCUCAUCCUGGUAAAUGUACCUCCCCCUGCUGAAAUUAGACCCAUUUUCCAAGGCCUUCCCUGAAUCUCUAAUCAGGAGAGGUUUCUUCCCCCAACUUCCAUAAAAUUUUCUUUUGAUGUUUACCUUUACCAUGG
RNAcentral lists this long non-coding RNA (1621 nucleotides) under Homo sapiens (human). RNAcentral's name for it is "HSALNT0382797". The record is from RNAcentral. Lineage: Eukaryota; Metazoa; Chordata; Mammalia; Primates; Hominidae.